Molecule: ribosomal RNA, 253 nt
Filed under: uncultured bacterium
Lineage: Bacteria
Description: partial 16S ribosomal RNA
Rfam family: Bacterial small subunit ribosomal RNA
Source: RNAcentral
UACGAAGGGGGCUAGCGUUGCUCGGAAUCACUGGGCGUAAAGCGCACGUGGGCGGAUUGCUAAGUCAGGGGUGAAAUCCUGGAGCUCAACUCCAGAACUGCCUUUGAUACUGGCGACCUUGAGUCCGGGAGAGGUGAGUGGAACUGCGAGUGUAGAGGUGAAAUUCGUAGAUAUUCGCAAGAACACCAGUGGCGAAGGCGGCUCACUGGCCCGGUACUGACGCUGAGGUGCGAAAGCGUGGGGAGCAAACAGG